This 253-nucleotide ribosomal RNA is filed under the name uncultured bacterium. RNAcentral's name for it is "partial 16S ribosomal RNA". It matches the Rfam family "Bacterial small subunit ribosomal RNA", at positions 524 to 776 of the family's 1533-position model. The record is from RNAcentral.
UACAGAGGUCUCAAGCGUUGUUCGGAUUCAUUGGGCGUAAAGGGCGCGUAGGCUGCGGGGUAAGUCGGGUGUGAAAUCUCAGAGCUCAACUCUGAAACUGCACUCGAUACUGCUUUGCUUGAGGACUGGAGAGGAGAUUGGAAUUUACGGUGUAGCGGUGAAAUGCGUAGAUAUCGUAAGGAAGACCAGUGGCGAAGGCGGGUCUCUGGACAGUUCCUGACGCUGAGGCACGAAGGCCAGGGGAGCAAACGGG